RNAcentral lists this ribosomal RNA (465 nucleotides) under uncultured bacterium. RNAcentral's name for it is "partial 16S ribosomal RNA". It matches the Rfam family "Bacterial small subunit ribosomal RNA", at positions 28 to 507 of the family's 1533-position model. The record is from RNAcentral.
GACGAACGCUGGCGGCACGCUUAACACAUGCCAGUCGAACGAGAGAAGAGAGGCUUGCUUUUCUGAUCUAGUGGCGGACGGGUGAGUAACACGUGAGCAAUCUGCCUUUCAGAGGGGGAUACCGAUUGGAAACGAUCGUUAAUACCGCAUAACAUAAUUGAACCGCAUGAUUUGAUUAUCAAAGAUUUAUCGCUGAAAGAUGAGCUCGCGUCUGAUUAGCUAGUUGGUAAGGUAACGGCUUACCAAGGCGACGAUCAGUAGCCGGACUGAGAGGUUGAUCGGCCACAUUGGGACUGAGACACUGCCCAGACUCCUACGGGAGGCAGCAGUGGGGAAUAUUGCACAAUGGAGGAAACUCUGAUGCAGCGAUGCCGCGUGAGGGAAGAAGGUUUUAGGAUUGUAAACCUCUGUCUUCAGGGACGAAAAAAGACGGUACCUGAGGAGGAAGCUCCGGCUAACUACGUG